This 252-nucleotide ribosomal RNA is filed under the name uncultured bacterium. RNAcentral describes it as "partial 16S ribosomal RNA". It matches the Rfam family "Bacterial small subunit ribosomal RNA", at positions 524 to 776 of the family's 1533-position model. The record is from RNAcentral.
UACGGAGGAUGCGAGCGUUAUCCGGAUUUAUUGGGUUUAAAGGGUGCGCAGGCGGAGGCACAAGUCAGCGGUAAAAUCGCGGGGCUCAACCCCGCUCCGCCGUUGAAACUGUGUCCCUUGAGUGCGCGAAGGGUAGGCGGAAUGCGUGGUGUAGCGGUGAAAUGCAUAGAUAUCACGCAGAACUCCGAUCGCGAAGGCAGCCUACCGGCGCGCAACUGACGCUCAUGCACGAAAGCGUGGGUAUCGAACAGG